AUUGAACGCUGGCGGCAUGCCUUACACAUGCAAGUCGAACGGCAGCACGGGAGCUUGCUCCUGGUGGCGAGUGGCGAACGGGUGAGUAAUGUAUCGGAACGUACCUUUCAGUGGGGGAUAACGUAGCGAAAGUUACGCUAAUACCGCAUAUUCUGUGAGCAGGAAAGCAGGGGAUCGCAAGACCUUGCGCUGAUUGAGCGGCCGAUAUCAGAUUAGCUAGUUGGUGGGUAAAGGCCUACCAAGGCUACGAUCUGUAGCGGGUCUGAGAGGAUGAUCCGCCACACUGGAACUGAGACACGGUCCAGACUCCUACGGGAGGCAGCAGUGGGGAAUUUUGGACAAUGGGGGCAACCCUGAUCCAGCCAUGCCGCGUGAGUGAAGAA
Molecule: ribosomal RNA, 383 nt
Filed under: uncultured bacterium
Lineage: Bacteria
Description: bacterial SSU rRNA
Rfam family: Bacterial small subunit ribosomal RNA
Source: RNAcentral